This 854-nucleotide ribosomal RNA is filed under the name uncultured bacterium. RNAcentral describes it as "bacterial SSU rRNA". It matches the Rfam family "Bacterial small subunit ribosomal RNA", at positions 8 to 853 of the family's 1533-position model. The record is from RNAcentral.
AGAGUUUGAUCAUGGCUCAGAUUGAACGCUGGCGGCAGGCUUCACACAUGCAAGUCGAACGGUAACAGGGAGAAGCUUGCUUCUUUGCUGACGAGUGGCGGACGGGUGAGUAAUGCUUGGGAAUCUGGCUUAUGGAGGGGGAUAACUACGGGAAACUGUAGCUAAUACCGCGUAAUAUCUUCGGAUUAAAGGGUGGGACUUUCGGGCCACCUGCCAUAAGAUGAGCCCAAGUGGGAUUAGGUAGUUGGUGGGGUAAAGGCCUACCAAGCCGACGAUCUCUAGCUGGUCUGAGAGGAUGACCAGCCACACUGGAACUGAGACACGGUCCAGACUCCUACGGGAGGCAGCAGUGGGGAAUAUUGCACAAUGGGGGGAACCCUGAUGCAGCCAUGCCGCGUGAAUGAAGAAGGCCUUCGGGUUGUAAAGUUCUUUCGGUGAUGAGGAAGGUGUUUGUUUUAAUAGAACAAGCAAUUGACGUUAGUCACAGAAGAAGCACCGGCUAACUCCGUGCCAGCAGCCGCGGUAAUACGGAGGGUGCGAGCGUUAAUCGGAAUGACUGGGCGUAAAGGGCACGCAGGCGGUGACUUAAGUGAGAUGUGAAAGCCCCGAGCUUAACUUGGGAAUUGCAUUUCAUACUGGGUCGCUAGAGUAUUUUAGGGAGGGGUAGAAUUCCACGUGUAGCGGUGAAAUGCGUAGAGAUGUGGAGGAAUACCGAAGGCGAAGGCAGCCCCUUGGGAAUAUACUGACGCUCAUGUGCGAAAGCGUGGGGAGCAAACAGGAUUAGAUACCCUGGUAGUCCACGCUGUAAACGCUGUCGAUUUGGGGAUUGGGCUUUAAGCUUGGUGCCCGUAGCU